GAAUAUUGGACAAUGGGCGCAAGCCUGAUCCAGCCAUACCGCGUGGGUGAAGAACGCCUUCGGUUUGUAAAGCCCUUUUGUUGGGAAAGAAACGCAGUCGGCUAAUAUCCGGUUGUUCUGACGGUACCCAAAGAACAAGCACCAGCUAACUUAGUGCCACCAUCCGCGGUAAUACGCAGGGUGCAAGAGUUACUCGGAAUUACUGGGCGUCAAUCGUGCGUAGGUGGUUGUUUAAGUCUGGUGUGAAAGCCCUGGGCUCAACCUGGGAAUUGCAGUGGAUACUGGGCGACUAGAGUGUGGUAGAGGGUAGUGGAAUUCCCGGUGUAGCAGUGAAAUGCGUAGAGAUCGGGAGGAACAUCCAUGGCGAAGGCAGCUACCUGGACCAACACUGACACUGAGGCACGAAAGCGUGGGGAGCAAACAGG
Molecule: ribosomal RNA, 425 nt
Filed under: uncultured bacterium
Lineage: Bacteria
Description: partial 16S ribosomal RNA
Rfam family: Bacterial small subunit ribosomal RNA
Source: RNAcentral